Scomber japonicus (chub mackerel) is the source of this 150-nucleotide long non-coding RNA. RefSeq lists it as uncharacterized. NCBI's taxonomy places the organism in Eukaryota, Metazoa, Chordata, Actinopteri, Scombriformes, Scombridae. The record is from RefSeq and is a predicted model, not a curated record. The transcript has 3 exons.
CUGUCAGUAUCAGGUUCUACUGGAACUGCACCAGGUUCUACUGAGGGUUUACUGUCAGUAUCAGGUUCUACUGAGGGUCUACUGUCAGUGUCAGAUUCUACUGAGGUUCUACUGUUCCAUUAUCAGGUUCUACUGAGGUUGUACUGUCAG